GAGGGUACAGCUUAGUGGUAGAGCACAUGCUUUGCAUGCAUAAGGUCCUGGGUUCAAUCCCCAGUACCUCCU
Molecule: transfer RNA, 72 nt
Filed under: Camelus bactrianus (Bactrian camel)
Lineage: Eukaryota; Metazoa; Chordata; Mammalia; Artiodactyla; Camelidae
Also listed under: 3 other names
Rfam family: tRNA
About the family: Transfer RNA (tRNA) molecules are approximately 80 nucleotides in length. Their secondary structure includes four short double-helical elements and three loops (D, anti-codon, and T loops).
Source: Rfam by way of RNAcentral